UCUGGUGAUAAUGGCGGAGGGGUCCCACUCGUUCCCAUCCCGAACACGAUCGUUAAGCCCUCCAGCGCCGAUGGUACUUGGACCGCAGGGUCCUGGGAGAGUAGGUCAUUGCCAGGC
Molecule: ribosomal RNA, 117 nt
Filed under: Risungbinella massiliensis
Lineage: Bacteria; Bacillati; Bacillota; Bacilli; Caryophanales; Thermoactinomycetaceae
Source: RNAcentral